Molecule: long non-coding RNA, 665 nt
Organism: Ictidomys tridecemlineatus (thirteen-lined ground squirrel)
Lineage: Eukaryota; Metazoa; Chordata; Mammalia; Rodentia; Sciuridae
Source: RefSeq, a predicted model, not a curated record
UGCCUCCCUGGGUCUCCCAUUCUACCUUGCCCAUCGCAUUCCCCUGGAGGCCAGGAGCUACACACUGGAGCCUGAGGGGGUCCUCCAUCCCCACAGAACCAGCUGAUGGUGGUGCUUCAGCUUGUGGAUGAAGUUGAUCAUGUACUCACACAUGGGCGAGCGGUGGAUGCGGUACACAAAGCGGCCAUUCUCCAGCCGGGCAUACUCCGUCUGGGAGGGCCAGAAGACAUCACCAAGCCUGCCCACACCGGCCCACCCACCCUGUCCCCAUGGCCCCACUCACCUCCACCUUCUCCACCACCUGCUUGCCAAAGGAGCACACCUUAGUGGACACACUGAUGGUCAUGCUGUCGGCAGAGCUGUACUGGGAGCUGACCCCAUAGAAGGCUCCUGGGCCCUCCUGGAUAGUACUGUUGAGGGUGUCUUCAAGUAUGAUACGUGGACCAACAGCACCAGCAUCACCAGGGAGCAGGUGAGAAAAUCAACCUUUCAGGCCUCAGCAUGGACCUAAGGAAUCAGGAACCCCAAGGGAAGCCCCAGAGGUCUGUUUGAAGGAGCCCUUCGGGGGACCUGCCACCCACCGAAGCCUGUGAACAACUGCAUUUCAUUCUUACAAAUGCUGCUUGCAAACGUGUUAAACUGAUUUCAUAAUCCGUAAUUUGUUU